AUGUCACUUCCACGGAACAAUAUGUAUUCAUAAACUUUGUCACUGGGUGGGAUUUGCGGACCAUCUUUUUUCCGUCCUUCUGUUCCAAAUGACCGCACGUUUUUCAAUCCGAUGCUGGACUCUUCGGUGUUGAUAUUGUAGAGAACGCCCUCGUAUCUGAUCUCACUCUUGGACGUCAAGCUUAUCAAGCUGCCUAUGUAGGAAUCGGCGGUCGAAUU
Molecule: unclassified non-coding RNA, 218 nt
Filed under: Hevea brasiliensis (rubber tree)
Lineage: Eukaryota; Viridiplantae; Streptophyta; Magnoliopsida; Malpighiales; Euphorbiaceae
Source: RNAcentral